Molecule: transfer RNA, 69 nt
Filed under: Sphaerodactylus townsendi
Lineage: Eukaryota; Metazoa; Chordata; Lepidosauria; Squamata; Sphaerodactylidae
Description: tRNA-Ala
Rfam family: tRNA (bases 5-61)
About the family: Transfer RNA (tRNA) molecules are approximately 80 nucleotides in length. Their secondary structure includes four short double-helical elements and three loops (D, anti-codon, and T loops).
Source: RNAcentral
GCCAUAGCUCUGUGGUAGAGCAUCUACUUUGCAUGCAGAAGUUCCCAGGUUCAGUCCCUGGCACCUACA